AACGCACAUUGCGCCCGCGAGUAUUCUCGCGGGCAUGCCUGUUCGAGCGUCAUUUCAACCAUCAAGCCCCCGGCUUGUGUUGGGGACCUGCGGCUGCCCGCAGGCCCUGAAAUCCAGUGGCGGGCUCGCUGUUGCCUCCUCUGCGUAGUAAUUACACCUCGCACCGGAUAGACACGAAGUCCACGCCGUAAAACAACCCAAUUUCUGAAUGUUGACCUCGGAUCAGGUAGGAAUACCCGCUGAACUUAA
This 249-nucleotide unclassified non-coding RNA is filed under the name uncultured fungus. Its description in RNAcentral is "sequence contains ITS2". The stretch from base 1 to 52 matches the Rfam family "5.8S ribosomal RNA", at positions 103 to 154 of the family's 154-position model. The record is from RNAcentral. Lineage: Eukaryota; Fungi.